ACGGAGGGUGCAAGCGUUAUCCGGAUUCACUGGGUUUAAAGGGUGCGUAGGCGGAAUGAUAAGUCAGUGGUGAAAGCCCCGAGCUCAACUUGGGAAUUGCCAUUGAUACUGUUGUUCUUGAGUUCGGUUGAGGUAGGCGGAAUGUUGCAUGUAGCGGUGAAAUGCUUAGAUAUGCAACAGAACACCGAUUGCGAAGGCAGCUUACCAAGCCGACACUGACGCUGAGGCACGAAAGCGUGGGGAUCAAACAGGA
This 253-nucleotide ribosomal RNA is filed under the name uncultured prokaryote. RNAcentral describes it as "partial 16S ribosomal RNA". It matches the Rfam family "Bacterial small subunit ribosomal RNA", at positions 525 to 777 of the family's 1533-position model. The record is from RNAcentral.